This 220-nucleotide ribosomal RNA is filed under the name uncultured bacterium. Its description in RNAcentral is "partial 16S ribosomal RNA". It matches the Rfam family "Bacterial small subunit ribosomal RNA", at positions 524 to 742 of the family's 1533-position model. The record is from RNAcentral.
UACGGAGGGUGCGAGCGUUGUCCGGAAUCACUGGGCGUAAAGGGCGCGUAGGCGGCGCGGUAAGUCGGGUGUGAAAUCUCGGAGCUUAACUCCGAAACUGCAUUCGAUACUGCCGUGCUUGAGGACUGGAGAGGAGACUGGAAUUUACGGUGUAGCGGUGAAAUGCGUAGAUAUCGUAAGGAAGACCAGUGGCGAAGGCGGGUCUCUGGACGAGUUCCUG